RNAcentral lists this ribosomal RNA (440 nucleotides) under uncultured bacterium. RNAcentral describes it as "partial 16S ribosomal RNA". It matches the Rfam family "Bacterial small subunit ribosomal RNA", at positions 338 to 795 of the family's 1533-position model. The record is from RNAcentral.
CCUACGGGAGGCAGCAGUGGGGAAUAUUGCACAAUGGGGGAAACCCUGAUGCAGCGACGCCGCGUGAGCGAUGAAGUAUUUCGGUAUGUACAGCUCUAUCAGCAGGGAAGAAAAUGACGGUACCUGACUAAGAAGCUCCGGCUAACUACGUGCCAGCAGUCGCGGUAAUACGUAGGGGGCAAGCGUUAUCCGGAUUUACUGGGUGUAACGGGAGCGUAGACGGCGGUGCAAGCCAGAUGUGAAGGCCCAGGGCUCAACCCCGGGACUGCAUUUGGAACUGGGCUGCUAGAGUGUCGGAGAGGCAGGCGGAAUUCCUAGUGUAGCGGUGAAAUGCGUAGAUAUUAGGAGGAACACCAGUGGCGAAGGCGGCUUGCUGGACGAUGACUGACGUUGAGGCUCGAAAGCGUGGGGAGCAAACAGGAUUAGAUACCCUGGUAGUC